RNAcentral lists this non-coding RNA (21 nucleotides) under Caenorhabditis elegans. Lineage: Eukaryota; Metazoa; Nematoda; Chromadorea; Rhabditida; Rhabditidae. The record is from RNAcentral.
UUUCCAGUUUAUCCUGGACAA